UAGGUGGGGGGACACAACAAUUCCCGAAAAGGGGAUGCUAAUACCCGCAUACGCCCUUACGGGGGGAAAGCAGGGGGAUCUUCGGACCUUUGCGCUAAUAGAUGAGCCCUAAGUCGGAUUAGCUAGUUGGUGGGGUAAAGGCCUACCAAGGCGACGAUCUGUAGCGGGUCUGAGAGGAUGAUCCGCCACACUGGGACUGAGACACGGCCCAGACUCCUACGGGAGGCAGCAGUGGGGAAUAUUGGACAAUGGGCGGAAGCCUGAUCCAGCCAUGCCGCGUGUGUGAAGAAGGCCUUUUGGUUGUAAAGCACUUUAAGCGAGGAGGAGGCUCUUAAGGUUAAUACCCUUGAUGAGUGGACGUUACUCGCAGAAUAAGCACCGGCUAACUCUGUGCCAGCAGCCGCGGUAAUACAGAGGGUGCGAGCGUUAAUCGGAUUUACUGGGCGUAAAGCGUGCGUAGGCGGCUGAUUAAGUCGGAUGUGAAAUCCCUGAGCUUAACUUAGGAAUUGCAUUCGAUACUGGUCAGCUAGAGUAUGGGAGAGGAUGGUAGAAUUCCAGGUGUAGCGGUGAAAUGCGUAGAGAUCUGGAGGAAUACCGAUGGCGAAGGCAGCCAUCUGGCCUAAUACUGACGC
Molecule: ribosomal RNA, 632 nt
Filed under: Acinetobacter tandoii
Lineage: Bacteria; Pseudomonadati; Pseudomonadota; Gammaproteobacteria; Moraxellales; Moraxellaceae
Description: bacterial SSU rRNA
Rfam family: Bacterial small subunit ribosomal RNA
Source: RNAcentral